CCUACGGGAGGCAGCAGUGAGGAAUAGUGGUCAAUGGGCGAGAGACGGAACCAGCCAAGUAGCGUGAGGGAGGAAGGUACAGAGGAGUGUAAACCUCUUUUGUCAGGGAGCAAAGCCCGGUACGUGUCCCCCUUUGCGUGUACCCUAAGAAAAAGCAUCGUCUAACUCCGUGCCAGCAGCCGCGGUAAUACGGGGGAUGCGAUCGUUAUCCGGAUUUAUUGGGUUUAACGGGUGUGUAGGCGGAGUAGCAAGUCAGCGGUCAAAUUGCGGGGCUCAACCCCGUCUUGUCGUUGAAACUGGUGCUCUCGAGUGGGCGAGAAGUAUGCGGAAUGCGUGGUGUAGCGUUGAAAUGCAUAGAUAUCACGCAGAACUCCGAUUGCGAAGGCAGCAUACCGGAGCGCAACUGACGCUGAUGCACGAAAGCGUGGGUAUCGAACAGGAUUAGAUACCCCAGUAGUC
RNAcentral lists this ribosomal RNA (459 nucleotides) under uncultured bacterium. RNAcentral's name for it is "partial 16S ribosomal RNA". It matches the Rfam family "Bacterial small subunit ribosomal RNA", at positions 338 to 795 of the family's 1533-position model. The record is from RNAcentral.